Long non-coding RNA from Oncorhynchus tshawytscha (Chinook salmon), 342 nucleotides. The record is from Ensembl. Lineage: Eukaryota; Metazoa; Chordata; Actinopteri; Salmoniformes; Salmonidae.
CGGCCUAUGGGCACUAGUCAAAAGUAGUGCACUAUAAAGAGAAUAGGGAAGUCAUUUGGGAUGCUGAUUAAGCCUCACAUUGGGGACAGAUUGAUUAAAAAAUGUGUUUAAUACAGUAAUGCACAGUUACUGCACACACACACACACACACACACACACACACACACACACCCUACUCCAGGGAAUUGACAGAUGGCCAUUAGUAGUAAUUGGUAGAACUGACUGAAUGAAGUAAUAGAAUAAGCAGGAUAGACAGGAGACAGGGGGAGAGCAGGAGAGAAAGGAGGUAGGGAGAGAGACAGGAGAGAAAGGAGGUAGGGAGAGAGACAGGAGAGACAGGAG